RNAcentral lists this ribosomal RNA (722 nucleotides) under Pseudalkalibacillus berkeleyi. RNAcentral describes it as "bacterial SSU rRNA". It matches the Rfam family "Bacterial small subunit ribosomal RNA", at positions 55 to 758 of the family's 1533-position model. Lineage: Bacteria; Bacillati; Bacillota; Bacilli; Caryophanales; Fictibacillaceae. The record is from RNAcentral.
AUGCAGUCGAGCGGAUCAAUGGGGAGCUUGCUCCCCUGAGAUCAGCGGCGGACGGGUGAGUAACACGUGGGCAACCUGCCUGUAAGACUGGGAUAACUCCGGGAAACCGGGGCUAAUACCGGAUAACAUUUUCCACUGCAUAGUGGGAAAUUGAAAGAUGGCUUCGGCUAUCACUUACAGAUGGGCCCGCGGCGCAUUAGCUAGUUGGUGAGGUAAGGGCUCACCAAGGCGACGAUGCGUAGCCGACCUGAGAGGGUGAUCGGCCACACUGGGACUGAGACACGGCCCAGACUCCUACGGGAGGCAGCAGUAGGGAAUCUUCGGCAAUGGGCGAAAGCCUGACCGAGCAACGCCGCGUGAGCGAUGAAGGCCUUCGGGUCGUAAAGCUCUGUUGUUAGGGAAGAACAAGUACCGUUCAAAUAGGGCGGUACCUUGACGGUACCUAACCAGAAAGCCACGGCUAACUACGUGCCAGCAGCCGCGGUAAUACGUAGGUGGCAAGCGUUGUCCGGAAUUAUUGGGCGUAAAGCGCGCGCAGGCGGUCUCUUAAGUCUGAUGUGAAAGCCCACGGCUCAACCGUGGAGGGUCAUUGGAAACUGGGGGACUUGAGUACUGGAGAGGAGAGUGGAAUUCCAUGUGUAGCGGUGAAAUGCGUAGAUAUAUGGAGGAACACCAGUGGCGAAGGCGGCUCUCUGGCCAGUAACUGACGCUGAGGCGCGAAA